RNAcentral lists this ribosomal RNA (253 nucleotides) under uncultured bacterium. RNAcentral's name for it is "partial 16S ribosomal RNA". It matches the Rfam family "Bacterial small subunit ribosomal RNA", at positions 524 to 776 of the family's 1533-position model. The record is from RNAcentral.
GACGAACCGUGCAAACGUUGUUCGGAAUCACUGGGCUUAAAGGGCGCGUAGGCGGGCAAGCAAGUCGAAGGUGAAAUCCCACGGCUCAACCGUGGAAGUGCCCCCGAUACUGCUUGUCUUGAGGGAGAUAGGGGCGUGCGGAACUUCCGGUGGAGCGGUGAGAUGCGUAGAUAUCAGGAGGAACACCGGUGGCGAAGGCGGUUCUCUGGGCAUUACCUGACGCUGAGGAGCGAAAGUGUGGGGAGCGAACAGG